AUGUUUGGGACUAACAUUUUGAUCCAGUGCCAGUGCCAGUUCCUGUUUGUUGCAUGUUUAUGUUUCGCAGAAACCCCAUAUCAAACGGAAUCCAAACGGGAUAAAAAUAGAUGGAGAAUAUUUUUGGAAUAUUUGGAGAAUAUGGGAAGAAGAAUCAACGCGAGACGGUGCCCGAGGGGGGCACGAGGCAGGGGGUGCGCCUGCCCCCCUCGUGGGCCCCCCGUAAGGCGGUUGCUGCUCUUCUUUGGCCACAAGAAAGCUAAUUUUCAGAAAAAAAAAUCUCGGCGAAGGUUUCAAUCCAAUCGGAGUUACCGAUCUCCAUAUAUAUACGAAACGAUGAAAGGGCAGAAUACCAGAACGCAGAAACAGAGAGACAGAUCCAAUCUCGGAGGGGCUUUCGCCCCUCCCAUGCCAUGGAGGCCAAGGACCAGAGGGGAAACCCUUCUCCCAUCUAGGGAGGAGGUCAAGGAAGAAGAAGAAUAA
This 483-nucleotide ribosomal RNA is filed under the name Triticum aestivum (bread wheat). RNAcentral describes it as "partial small subunit ribosomal RNA". Lineage: Eukaryota; Viridiplantae; Streptophyta; Magnoliopsida; Poales; Poaceae. The record is from RNAcentral.